Molecule: non-coding RNA, 135 nt
Organism: Triticum aestivum (bread wheat)
Lineage: Eukaryota; Viridiplantae; Streptophyta; Magnoliopsida; Poales; Poaceae
Source: Rfam
UUUGUACUCCCUCCGUCCCAAAAUUCUUGUCUUAAAUUUGUCUAAAUACGGAUGUAUCUAGUUACAUUUUAGUGUUAGAUACAUCCGUAUCUAAACAAAUGUAAGACAAGAAUUUUGCGACGAAGGGAAUACUAC